RNAcentral lists this ribosomal RNA (460 nucleotides) under uncultured bacterium. RNAcentral describes it as "partial 16S ribosomal RNA". It matches the Rfam family "Bacterial small subunit ribosomal RNA", at positions 338 to 795 of the family's 1533-position model. The record is from RNAcentral.
CCUACGGGGGGCAGCAGUGAGGAAUAUUGGUCAAUGGGCGGAAGCCUGAACCAGCCAAGUCGCGUGAGGGAAUAAGGCCCUACGGGUCGUAAACCUCUUUUGCCGGGGAGCAAGGGCGGGGACGUGUCCCGGCCCGGAGAGUACCCGGAGAAAAAGCAUCGGCUAACUCCGUUCCAGCCGCCGCGGUAAUACGGAGGAUGCGAGCGUUAUCCGGAUUGAUUGGGUUUAAGGGGUGCGUAGGCGAGCUUUGAAGGCAGCGGUAAAAUUUCGGGGCUCAACCCCGUCCGGCCGUUGAAACUGGGGAGCUUGAGUGGGUGAGAAGAAGGCGGAAUGCGUGGUGUAGCGGUGAAAUGCAUAGAUAUCACGCAGAACCCCGAUUGCGAAGGCAGCCUUCCGGCGCCCUACUGACGCUGAGGCACGAAAGUGCGGGGAUCGAACAGGAUUAGAUACCCCAGUAGUC